UACGAGGGGGGCAAAUGUUGUUCGGAAUCACUGGGCGUAAAGGGCGCGUAGGUGGCCCGGUCAGCGUGCGGUGAAAGCUCGGGGCUCAACCCCGAGUCGGCCGUGCGAACUGCUGGGCUUGAGCACUGUAGAGGCAGGCGGAAUUCCGGGUGUAGCGGUGGAAUGCGUAGAGAUCCGGAAGAACACCGGUGGCGAAGGCGGCCUGCUGGGCAGUGGCUGACACUGAGGCGCGACAGCGUGGGGAGCAAACAGG
RNAcentral lists this ribosomal RNA (253 nucleotides) under uncultured bacterium. Its description in RNAcentral is "partial 16S ribosomal RNA". It matches the Rfam family "Bacterial small subunit ribosomal RNA", at positions 524 to 776 of the family's 1533-position model. The record is from RNAcentral.